RNAcentral lists this unclassified non-coding RNA (871 nucleotides) under Malbranchea umbrina. Its description in RNAcentral is "Auxarthron umbrinum sequence contains 28S rRNA gene". It matches the Rfam family "Eukaryotic large subunit ribosomal RNA", at positions 50 to 933 of the family's 3401-position model. Lineage: Eukaryota; Fungi; Ascomycota; Eurotiomycetes; Onygenales; Malbrancheaceae. The record is from RNAcentral.
GCGGAGGAAAAGAAACCAACAGGGAUUGCCCCAGUAACGGCGAGUGAAGCGGCAAAAGCUCAAAUUUGAAAUCUGGCUCCUUUCGGGGUCCGAGUUGUAAUUUGAAGAGGAUGCUUUGGGUGCGUCCGCGGCGUAAGUCCCUUGGAACAGGGCGUCAUAGAGGGUGAGAAUCCCGUCUUGAGUCGCCGGCGCGCGCGCGUUUAAAGCUCCUUCGACGAGUCGAGUUGUUUGGGAAUGCAGCUCUAAGUGGGUGGUAGAUUUCAUCUAAAGCUAAAUAUUGGCCGGAGACCGAUAGCGAACAAGUAGAGUGAUCGAAAGGUUAAAAGCACCUUGAAAAGGGAGUUAAAUAGCACGUGAAAUUGUUGAAAGGGAAGCGCUUGCAGCCAGACUCGGGUUCGGAGGCUCAGCGGGUAUUGUUAUGCCCGUGCACUCCUCCGCACCCGGGCCAGCAUCAGUUUUGGCGGCCGGUCAAAGGCCCCCGGAAUGUGUCGUCCUCCGGGACGUCUUAUAGCCGGGGGUGCAAUGCGGCCAGCCGGGACUGAGGAACGCGCUUCGGCACGGAUGCUGGCGUAAUGGCUGUAAGCGGCCCGUCUUGAAACACGGACCAAGGAGUCUAACAUCCACGCGAGUGUUCGGGUGUCAAACCCGUACGCGCAGUGAAAGCGAACGGAGGUGAGAGCCCCUUCGGGGGCGCAUCAUCGACCGAUCCUGAAGUCUUCGGAUGGAUUUGAGUAAGAGCGUGGCUGUUGGGACCCGAAAGAUGGUGAACUAUGCCUGAAUAGGGUGAAGCCAGGAGAAAUUCUGGUGGAGGCUCGCAGCGGUUCUGACGUGCAAAUCGAUCGUCAAAUUUGGGUAUAGGGGCGAAAGACUA